Molecule: transfer RNA, 72 nt
Filed under: Marmota monax (woodchuck)
Lineage: Eukaryota; Metazoa; Chordata; Mammalia; Rodentia; Sciuridae
Description: tRNA.Ala
Source: RNAcentral
UCUUGUAGUUCAGUGGUAUAGCACAUGCUUAGCCUACAUGAGGCUCCUGAGUUCAAUCCUCAGUACCAAAAA